UACAGAGGUCUCAAGCGUUGUUCGGAAUCACUGGGCGUAAAGGGUGCGUAGGCUGCGCUGUAAGUCAGAUGUGAAAUCCCGGGGCUCAACCCCGGAACUGCAUCCGAUACUGCGGUGCUUGAGGACUGGAGAGGAGUCUGGAAUUCAUGGUGGAGCAGUGAAAUGCGUAGAUAUCAUGAGGAACACCGGUGGCGAAGGCGGGUCUCUGGGCCGAUACUGACGUGGAGGAGCGAAAGCGUGGGGAGCGAACAGG
This 253-nucleotide ribosomal RNA is filed under the name uncultured bacterium. Its description in RNAcentral is "partial 16S ribosomal RNA". It matches the Rfam family "Bacterial small subunit ribosomal RNA", at positions 524 to 776 of the family's 1533-position model. The record is from RNAcentral.